AUAUAUAUAUAAAUUAUUAUAUAUUACAUUAUAUAUAUAGUAUAAUAUAAUUUUGAAUAUAUAGUAUAAUUCGAAGAUGUUUAAAUUAUAAAUAUAGAUAAUGAUGAUGAUGAGAAUAAUAAUAAGAGAAAUACUUCUAUACACCGGCCAAUUUAAAUCCGACCAUUCAAUUUUUGAUGUUAAGAUUGACUUUUACACAAUGGUAACGUACAUGCUCAACAGAUUACCAAUCAAUCAAAAAAAUAAUAUUUGAAACUAUGCAUUAGCUAAUUACCAAAUUUGAUAAUAUCCAACAAAUCUUCAUUUUCUAAUUUAAUUUUGUUACUUACCAACUUAGAUA
This 340-nucleotide long non-coding RNA is filed under the name Ananas comosus (pineapple). RNAcentral's name for it is "long non-coding RNA (ACOM_LNC013591)". The record is from RNAcentral. Lineage: Eukaryota; Viridiplantae; Streptophyta; Magnoliopsida; Poales; Bromeliaceae.